Long non-coding RNA from Ostrea edulis (European flat oyster), 1246 nucleotides. RefSeq lists it as uncharacterized. Lineage: Eukaryota; Metazoa; Mollusca; Bivalvia; Ostreida; Ostreidae. The transcript has 2 exons. The record is from RefSeq and is a predicted model, not a curated record.
AUGUCUUAUUCGUCUUGAAGAUGAUUCAUUGUAUGUAAAAUGACAGAUGUGACAAAUUUGUAUUAAAAGAAAAAUCCAAACUUAAUAUUCAGCAUAUUAGCUGGAAAAAGUAACGAAGAUAAAAAAAAAUAUUUAAAAAUGGAGAGUUCAUUUCCUUAACUAAACAGAAAAAAGUAUAAUCCCCCAUAACAUGUCUUUCCUUCCGUAGAGGUUAAUAUGAUGUAGCGGUCAGUAUAAGAGGGUACUUAUACUGCCUCGCUAGUGAGUUAGCUUUUCUAAUGAUGUGGUAGAGUCUCUCUCUCGAUCACACAAGUUAACAGCGAGCAUGAUCAGCACUUGGCUAGCUGAUCGCUACACGUUACAAAAUGGUGGCAACGUAGUGACUCUGGUGUUUUGUAGGCCUGCUUCAGGUAGAGUCUCUUAGCAGCACUGGGACUUUGUGUCCAUGUACGGACGUGGGUUCGUCCGGUGACGACGGUGGAUGUCGUCGGGAACGGUGGAUGCCGCUGAUGAAGAGAUGCCAAACAUUCAGAGAGAAUUCGUGCUAAACUUCGGAACGAAGCUUCCAUGAGAAGGGUGAAAUGUAGCGAACAGUAUAUAGGGAACUCAUAUAGGGGCUGUAAGUCUCGUUUCUCGUCACUUCCGGUGAAGAGUUUCCGGUGACAAACAAAUCCGAUUCAGUAUUACGAGUAUAGAAUUGGGCCAACUACACGUCCGAAAAACCAACGCUUAUGAGUAAAUCAGAGAACGCUGUUUACCACAACCAUUUGUUAUGUCCCUGUUUAACAAGUUGGCAUACAUUGUCAAUGCAGUGGUUCAAGUGUCGAUGGAGAACAAGUUGUAUAAAGUAACCAGAAUACAGGAAGAGUAUUUACUCCCUCAAGUCCAGUCAUCCUUGCUAUCAUCAGAUACAGGACCAGCUUUUGUGCAAUAUGAAUUAUUCCGUCUCGAUUGUUUGGACUACAGCCGACUGCAUGCAAAAUUAUCCGGAUCAUCAAGGACUCUUAGUGGACAAAGAACAUUGCAAAGUGAUAUAAUUUUAUUGCUGCAACUUGAUUAUUUGGACAAAAGCUGACUGCAGAAUUAUUCCGGAUCAUAAAGGACUCGGAAUGGACACAUAACAUUAACAGAAAUAUUUCCAUUUCUGAAUGAAUUCAAAAUCAACAUGUAUUGAUAAAACAUACUUAGUAAAACAAUAACAAUCAAUAGUGCAUUUUUUAUUUAUACUAAACUAUUUGACACACAA